Long non-coding RNA from Meriones unguiculatus (Mongolian gerbil), 1191 nucleotides. RefSeq lists it as uncharacterized. The record is from RefSeq and is a predicted model, not a curated record. NCBI's taxonomy places the organism in Eukaryota, Metazoa, Chordata, Mammalia, Rodentia, Muridae. The transcript is spliced from 5 exons.
CACUCCGCAUUCCUCCGUCUGAAAAAGCUGGCACACUUCAGCCCACCAGAAAAAAAAAAAAAAAAAAAAAAAGCGCUGUGUGUUUCCAGCACAACACCAAGAAGUAUUUUUUUUUCUCCCUCCGUAUCCUCUUAGCACCGCUCCUGAUAAAAUAUGACUUCGGAAUCUAUGGACAACGAUUAUUUCUCGCAUCUUUUCUUCUUAGAAAUUGCUUAGCCAGCUCCAGUCACUGACAAGAAAACUUCUCGGGACUCAUGUAGCUGAAGAGGCAAACAUCACAGACCCCUAAAAAAUCCAAAAAUAUUUCUUUUUCAUUGUUUUGGAUUUUUUUUUUCUUUAAGGGGCUGUAGUUUCUUGGAGUUCUACUGAGAGUAAAAUGGUGCUUAUAGCCAUCUGAAAUCCCUCCACCACCGCCACCCCCAUCCCAAGAUUCCUAUGGCUUCAGUAGAGAGCUUCUGGGACCAAAUGCUACAUCCUUGCCACCGGUGGUACCCAAGGACGCCUUCCUCUCGUGGGUGCUUCUGAAUGUAAGUUUAAGCCUCCCCUAAGUCCAUGGUGAUGAAGCGGUUUCUCCUGGGCUGCCAACUCAUUGCCUCAACUCUGUCCAGCUCAGUAGGUCCAUGCAGUUUCUGAGGAAGGGAAAAGAUGGGGCUCGUCAGUGCUUGUUCUCAGGGGAUCCCUAAAGACAUGCUCGAUCUCACUCUGAUCACUCUCAGGCUGACACCAAGUUCCUCCUUAUGGUGCCUCCUUCCUCGGCCUCGUGGUGCUGGUUUCACAGCACAAGACCGUUAGAGUCCACACGGGUGGAGCAGAGGACACAGGUAUGGCUGAUGGAACAGCAAGCUGAGCGCUCACGUCGUGAACUACAAGCAGGAAGCAGAGAGAGCAAACCUGGAAUGGCGUGUGGCUUUUGAAACCCCAGAGCCCACACCCAGUGACUUCCUUCCUUUAGCAAGGUCACACAGCUAUUCAGCAUUCCCAAGCAAUGUCCCCAAUUGGGGACCAAGUAUUCAGACGCCUGAGCCUAUGGGGGACAUUCUCAUUCAAACCACCACAGUGCCUGGAGUCUCAGUUACCUGGGAGCCUAAGGCUGGAGGAUCACAAGUUCAAGGCUAAUCUGGGAUAUUUAAGGAGACCCUUAGAUUGAAACAAAGCAAAAUGAAAAUAAAUGCAAAUAUAAAGAGACAACAG